Eriocheir sinensis (Chinese mitten crab) is the source of this 9104-nucleotide long non-coding RNA. RefSeq lists it as uncharacterized. The transcript is spliced from 2 exons. NCBI's taxonomy places the organism in Eukaryota, Metazoa, Arthropoda, Malacostraca, Decapoda, Varunidae. The record is from RefSeq and is a predicted model, not a curated record.
UCAUUUCCUAUUACUUUUCUUCACUCAUCUCCUGAAUAUACUUCACACAGGUUACUUUUACUGUGUUAGACUCUACUUUUUCAUUAUUCAUGUACUUCAUCAUUCAUCUGCUUUAUCAUUUAUCUUCUUAUCUUCCUUCAUGUAAUUCAUUAGUCAUUCAUUCAUUUUCAAUCUACUUCAGUCUUCAUGUACUUCAUCAUUCAUCUUCUGUAUCAUUAAUCUACUUAUCUUCCUUCCUGUAAUUCAUUAGUCAUUCAUUCAUCUUCAAUCUACUUCAGUCUUUCGCUACUUCAUCAUUCAUCUUCUGUAUCAUUAAUCUACUUAUCUUCCUUCCUGUAAUUCAUUAGUUAUUCAUUCAUCUUCAAUCUACUUCAGUCUUCCUCAUAAUCAUCUUCCAUCUACUUAAUCAACUUCAUAUUCUACCUUAUUAUUCAUCUUCAUUUACCGACCAUACUUAAACUGAUCUCCUUUCCCCAUGCAAUUUCCUUCAGUCAUCUCCUAGAAUCUAUUGCAAUGAUAAAAGACACGACAUAUUAGCAUCAUAUCUCUUUUACUGUAGCAUCAAAGAGGUUAUACAAGUCGUAAAAAAGCCAUUCAUGUCUGCCUAUGUAUAUGUGUGUGUGUAUGUGUGUGUGCCGGCAAACCCUCGCUCGGCACAUUACAUAUCAGCUAAGGAACUUCUCGUAGCAUCUUAACAUAACAAUCUAAACUAAUACAUAUAAAAAGUAAACCAUAAUAUGCCUGGCAGGGUUCCACCAACACUGCAUGUAUCUGUAUUUGCCACUAUAUAUAAUUAUUUCCUAAGGUUUUUUAAGUCAGUAUAGUUUCCAUAAUUUCACCAUCAGCAUAGAUUCACCAUUAUCAAGAGAGCAAGCGUACUGCCAUGAUAUAUAUAUAUAACAAGGUGAUGGUGAUGGCUGACUUCAUAUCACUAGAGGAGGAGGAGGAGGAAGAGGAGAUAAAGGAGGAGGAGGAGACAAAUUAUGGAAGAAAUCAUUGGACAAAUUAUGGAAGAAGAAGGAGGAGGAGGAGGAGGAGGAGGAAGAAGAGGGAGAAGACAGCAUUAUACAUUUUUUCUUCACACACAAUAUCCUUGGUUUCAGCUGAUAGUUACAAAUCAUAUAUUCAUUCUUUUCCACACAAGUAAUUUGAUAUACCUAGUCAGCUUAUGUAUUGAAGAUUGAAGGAGGAGGAAGAAGGAGGAGGAGGAAGAGGAGGGAGAAGAUAGCACUGUACAUUUCUUCCUAACCCGCACUAUCCUUAGUUUCAGCUGAUAGUUAUACAAAUCAUAAACUCCUUCAGUACAGAUAAUUUCCCAUAACUAUUAGCCUACAUUUUGCUUCUUCAAAGAUAAAUAGUUAACAUUACCACUCAUGCAUAGCUAUCACUAACAAGCUUGUAAUGCUGCACGAUGGACUCACUCAAACGCAUACAAAAAGAACGUAUGUAUAUAAAAAUUUUGUGCCAUUCCUAUAACAGGUGCCGCCACUAACACCCGCCCAUGUGCAGAUUAAGUUCUUGAGGGUCACAGCAGGGCAUGGCAACACUGGACUAUAUACAGACGGCAUUGCUCUGUUAAUGCAAACUAAAGAGUGAAAAUAAAAGACAAAGUACCAGCCCUUGAAAUACAGAAGACAGUGUUCCUCUCUCAUAAACAUAGUGAAAAUAAAGACUAAACACCAGCCCUGGAAACAUAGAGGGCGUUGCUCUGUUAACCCUCUCACGCACGAUGAUGCAUUUCGCGUCAUCAAAGGGUAAAAGGUCCUGGCGCACGAUGACGCGAAACGCGUCAUAAAAGUUUUAAAAAUUUAUUAAAAAUUAAGUUUUCGGUGAAAUUGCGUCAAAUUUGGGAGCGUCAUUUGUUGGGAUAAGUUUGUUAAUGGUAACAUAGGGCAACCUUUCUAAGGAGCAUAGAUGAGGAGCUUUGAGCUCACUAAAUUCCGCUUCGAAACAUAUAUUCAGCUAAAAAAGUUGGCCCACAAAAUUUCGAGCUAGCGAGUGGGGAAGAGUUGGUACUUCGGAUUUACUGUCUACAAUACUCUAUACUGAGACUUGAAACAAGUUUGUAUUGCUUAUAUAUAUAUACUUUCCUCUAUUUUCAUUUGUGCAUGUUCUAGUACAAGUCUUUAUGAAGCCACUGAUACCAAAUUUAUUGGGGUACGAUAUAUCUGUAAGGGUAAAAUACGUCCGGGAAUGUAGAGUAUUGCAGCGGCAAAAAAAGUCCGGUCGGGCCUGAGAAAUGCAUGGUGAGUGGAACAGAAACUUAUGGUGUGCGAGAGGGUUAACAUGAACUAUAGAGUGAAAAUAAAAGACAAAGUACCAGCCCUUGAAAUACAGAAGGCAGUGUUCCUCUAUCAUAGAUUACUGAGUGAAAAUAAAUGACUAAGUAUACUAGCCUUUGGACUACUGAAUGCUCCUUUAUAAUAAGCUAUAGCGUAAAAAUAAAAGACAAAGUACCAGCCCUUGAAAUAAAGAAGGUAAUGUUCCGCUAUCAGAAAUUAUCAAGUGAAAAUAAAUUACUAAGUAUACUACUCUUUGGACUACUGAAUGCUCCUUUACCAUAAGCUAGAGUAGAAAUAAAUGACUAAGUAUCGGACCUUGAACUACUGAAUCCAAUGCUCCUAGAUCAUAAACUAUAGAGUAAAGUGAAAGACUAAGUAUCAACCCUUCAACUAUAGAAUCUAAUGCUCCUUUAUCAUUAACUAUACAGUAAAAUGAAAGACUAACUACUUAAUUGCCAUUGGACUAUGGAAUUCAAGGCUCUUUGUUCAUUAUAAAGUAAAGUAAACCUGUAACUCUGUGAUUCCGUGUAAGUAAAAAGUAACUAAUGUCUUUCAACACUUCAGUAUUUCCUCCUGUAAUACAAUAGCUUGACUCUGACCCAUUAAAGGACAUUCAUCAAAUUCAUUCCUAGGUCAAAAUUUCGACCUAUCAAGAGCUUAACACAUGAGUCUACAAGAGGGCACAGAGUACAGCCCAGUAACAUGAUCACAUAAGAUUAAGAGUUGAUAAAAAAAGAUUGCAAAAAGACUAAUGUAUUCCUUGGUAAUUGUAUAACAACUUCAAUGUUACAUGCAUGUAAUUUAAUUAAUAUCCAAGCCUCUAGUCUAGUGCAUCUAACCUGCCUAAGGGCGAGCCUCCCAUAACUCUGUGAGGGGGUUGUCUCUUUGGCCGACUGGUUAAGGAGUGGCUCUCCCGUCUUGCUGGUCGCGGGUUUGAUCCCCGGCUCCAGCAAAACCUUUCCUUGUCUGGAUUAGUUUACUGUAUGUUUUCUUACACGCUGUGGUUGUGUGGGAGCAGAGUGGAGUGAAAUUCAGGGCGUUAAACUAGUAUUAUUCUUGAUUAUGUUACAACUCUUCACAAAAUAUAUAGAAUGCCAAAAUCCACUGUAAUUCUUCUCAUUAAUAUAUACAUCCUUCUAACAAGUAAACUCUUAAGAAUCUUGCCUUCCCAAUAAUAAUAAUAAUGAUAAUAAUAAUAACAACAAUGUACUGUUUCCUCAUUUCCACACAAAGCUCACACUAUUGAAUACCUGGCCACCUCAAGCAGUGAAUCUACUUUGCACAUAUGCAUAUAUUAUUUACUAUUCUCUAUUCAGCACUCUAGCAUGCGUUUUCCCAUUUGAUUUUGUCUCUAUAGAACCCAGGAACCUUGUAAUCAGCAUUGCUUUUCUCUACGCAAGCAGAUGUAAGAAGACAGGCCAAGGAUAAGAAGAACACUUGCACUCAUAACAUUAAGAACUGCCUUAUGAUAUGGGCCUCAAUACACAGACAUAUACAGUCGUCCCUCAAAUAGUACGGUUUCCAAUAGUUAGGUUUUGGUUUUAUGUGGAGUUUCUAAGAAGAUUUUUUAGGAUUUUUAAAUUUCCCGACGAGCAGGAAAUUCAAAAAUCCUAAAAGAUCUUCUAUGACAAGCUGUAUAAAACCGAAACCGAACUAUUGGAAACUGUACUAUUUGAGGGACGACUGUAUAUCAUUCAAGGACAGCAUCAUGCACACAUUCACACCAUUACUGAUACCAUAACACCUCACAGCCUUUUUUAAGCUAAGUUUCUAAGGGGCCGGACCGUGCCUCUCGAAUUAAGAAAGGAUGCAGUCUUGUCCUGUUAUAUACUCACUCUAUGCAGCCUAUUGGUUACAUGCAUUACUUAGAGAGCUUAUGUAUUCACCUAAUUCUUAUGCUUUUAUGGAGCAAGGUGUACAUCGUAUUAUCUGGUUAACUCAUUUACCUUCCUCAACAUCAUUACCACGGCUGAUUCUUCUUGUAACUUCUAUGCUCCUUAGUCUCUCAAUAUAACCACACUAUCAUCUUUUACUGAGAGAUCUGGAGUAUAAGAAUUGUGGAAUAAAUAGGAACUUGUGUAUGUUGAAUAGAAAAAUGCAAUAAUAAUGAAAAAAAUACAUACAGGGGAAGAGUUGUGGAAUAGAUUAAAGCUUGCAUAUAUUGAAUUAAGAAAGAGAAUAAUAAAAAAAUAUAUACAGUACAAUAGAAAUGCUGUGGAAUAGAUUAAAGACUUUCAUAUAUAAAAGCAAAUAAUAAUUGAAAAAAAUAUACAUGAAGAUUCCUAAUGCCCCUUCCUUCAAUAAACACCUGUAGUGCUUAACAGCUUAACUUCAGCAUUAUUCCUCACAAGCCAUCAUUGCUAUACAAGUUUUAUACAAGUUUCUGACCAUUGCCUAUCCACCUGUCACACCUCUUUUCCUCCACCUUUUGUAACCUAAAGCUGCAACAACUUGAUUUUCCUUCCUUCCUAAGCAAUGCUGCAUACACACUGGAGGGAGGGAAAGAGAGGGAAAGGAGGGAUGGAGGAGGCAUGGUCGCUUUCUAUACUACAGCUGCACUUUGGUAAUACUCCUGCUCUAAAUAACAGCGACAUAGUAACUUCUCUUAUCUUCCUUUCUUAAGCAAAACCUACUUGACUUUUCUUCCCUCCGAAAGCAAUGAUACACACACACUGGAGGAAGGGAAGAAGAUGAACAGUCACUCUCUACACUACAGCUGCACUCAUCCUGGUAAUACUUCUCCUGCUCUAAAUAAAAGCCAUAGCAACUUAUCUCAUCUUCCUUAAGCAAAACUGAUCUUCCCUCCACUGCAUAGACAUACCAUAGAGAGAGGGAGGGAGACACCAUCACUCCCUUCAGCUACACCUAUCAUGGUAAAACUCCUCCUCAUGCUGUGAAUAAAAGCCACAAAAACCUUACUUAUUUUUCCCCUUAAUCAACGAUGCAAAUACACACUGGAUAGGGACAUUCACUCCUCACACUAGUUUUUUUAAGUACAUAAGGAACGGAGAUAUUUAUAAGGGAGGGUAAGUCACUGGUAGGCUUCUUAUAUAUGUUAUUUCCAUUAUCUGACUACCGUACAUAUUCAAAUCAGCUAGUAUGGUAUUAUGGAGUUCUGUAUAGUCACACAUCAAGUAGGAAACCAUGACAGUCUAUGGGAUUUUUCUAAUAUACUAUAAUGUAUUUUCUGCUAUCUGACUCCCACAUAGACCAAGGGAAGUCAUCCAGUUUGGUAUUACGGAGUGUGAAUGUCUAAGGGAUUUUGCUGGUAUACUACGAUGGUAUUUCUGCUAUCUGACCCCCAUAUAGACCAAGGGAAGUCAUCCAGUUUGGUAUUACGGAGCAUGAAUGUUUAAGGAACCUCUACGGACACUGACCUAACUACCUAACUGUUGUAUUCUAUUAAGGACGGCACGAGUGAAGGCUUCUGGCAGUACCAUGCAUAAUAAAAUCUGGCGUGUGAUGAGUUAGUUCUCUCUGGCCUGCAAGCAAUGUGUUACUUUUUUCCAUUUGGAACUACAGUUGUCCCUCAAAUAGUACGGUUUCCAAUAGUUCGGUUUCAGUUUUAUAGGGAUUGUCAUAGAAGAUAUUUUAGGAUUUUUACAUUUCCUGCUUGUCGGGAAAUUAAAAAAUCCUAAAAAAUCUUCUUAGAAAAUCGACAUAAAACCAAAACUGAACUAUUGGAAACUGUACUAUUUGAGGGACACCUGUAUACUUUGGUGAUCUGGUAACUGUGUGAAGACUUGUUCUGAUCUCCUUUAAUAUGCAAGACGAAAUUUCUUACGAUCAUUCUCUAAACAUUAAGUUAGUACAGUGUUUCAAUACCAAGACCAAACAGCUGACUUGGUAACUGUGUGAAGCUUUUUUUUCUGAUUUCCCUUUACAUGCAAGACACAAAACUUCUUACGAUCAUUCUCUAAACAUUAAGUUAGUACAGUGCUUCAAUACCAAGACCAAACAGCUGACUUGGUAACUGUGUGAAGCUUUUUUUUCUGAUUUCCCUUUACAUGCAAGACACAAAAUUUCUUACGAUCAUUCUCCAAACAUUAAGUUAGUACGAUGCUUCAAUGCCAAGACCAAACAGCUUUUUUCUGAUUUCCCUUUACAUGCAAGACACAAAAUUUCUUACGAUCAUUCUGUAAGCAUCAAAUUACAAUGCUUCAAUAUCACCCAACUGAAGCGACUGAUCAGAAACACGUGGAAGAUUAGUCUCGUUCUGAACAGUGCAAAAUCAGACAGCGUGAAUCAUGGGUGUGAGUGCGAACCAUAAAAUAUCCAACCUAUAAAUGAUGUAGUGAGGUUGACAAGUCCCAGAGAUACAGUAGUGAGAAUCAAGUAGUGCAGCCCUUAAGUUACAUGUAUCUAGCCUGUGGCAUCACCAAAUAUUAAAAUGAUCUGGUAGGGUUGACACAAGAAACAGAGAUGUACAUUAGUGAGAAUUAAAGCAGUGUAGCCCAUAAUAUUCAAACCAAAAAUGAUCGGGUGAGGUUGACAACAGAGAUACAGAGGAAUAGAACAAACGGAGGAGAUACAGAGACACAGGGAAAGAGAGAUACAUUAGUGUUACAAAAGAUAGGAGAACAGAGGUUUGAUCAAGUUAUGCAGCAAGUAAGGUACAUGUAUCAAUAUAACACAAGCUUGCAGAUUUACUAAAGUCUUCUAGCAAGGUGAACAGGUCUUAAAAAGGUAGAAAGCAUGAACCACAAUGACAAAUAAUAAUAUAUACGCAAAGUGUAAGUCAAUCUCUUCAUGAUGUAGUGAGACCUAAGAUGAUAUGAUUUUUUCCUUGAUUCAUUGAUGGCAUUGCAGAGUUCAUCAUUUUAAGUAAUAUUUCAUUCGGUUAUAUUUCAGCCAUACAAAUGUCCGUUAGGCUCAGUCCCCUUCCUGGAGGCAUUACUGAUUGACGGGAGCCUUGAUAGAAAAAAUGACCUAAAUAAUCUAACCAUUUCAUAUACGAGAGAUAGAUUCCUUUCCUGGAGUGGUUGCUGAGUGGCUGAAGCUGUUUCCGUAGUCUUUUAUAGAAAUAAUGACCGAAACACUCAAGUAAUUUUAUAUGAUACUAAAGAUAAGUCAUGUAAAACGAUGAACAGAGUCUUGUUUACUCUGGGCCCGGGAUGAGGAAGGAACAGGCGCAGGGAACAACUCACUGGCUGGCUGGUGGCGACAACAACACCAGUCAUCAACAAAACUUAAAGCGACAAUAGUUAAACCAGUAUGAAAACCAGGUGCUUCCACAAUAGGAAAACCGUAUAACUAUCGGCAAACCUCCUCGUUAUGAAAAUACAAACAACAGAAAUGAAAACAGUGCGGAAACCAGAAUACUUUCACUAUAAACACAAUAAAAUCUUAUACAUCUCUUUGCAAACUUCCUCGUUAUGAAAAUAGAAAACAUUACAAGUGAAAACAGUGUGGAAAUUAGAUUAACUUCCACUAUGAAAAAAUGAAAAACUCUUAUACGUCUAUCACUAAACUUCCUCAUUAUGAAAAUACAAAACAACAGAAGUGAAAACAGUGUGGAAAUUAGAUUAACUUCCACUAUGAAAAAAUGAAAAACUCUUAUACGUCUAUCACUAAACUUCCUCAUUAUGAAAAUACAAAACAGUGGAAGUAAUGUGUGAAAAUAAGAUUAACUUCCACUACGAAAAAAUGAAAAACUCUUAUACGUCUAUUACCAAACUUCCUCAUUAUGAAAAUACAAAACUUUCUCAUUAUGAAAAUACAAAACAAGUCAAAACGUGUGAAAAUCAGGGUAACUUCCACUAUGACAAACUUAUAUAUACUAACCGUCAAACCUCUUCGUUAAGAAAAUACAAAAUGAUACAAACUCAAAACAGUGUGAUAAUCAAGGAACUUCCGCACACACAAGAACUGAUACUAAAUUAAUCCCCGUGCCUCCUCAUUACGAAGGAGUACAAAACAACUUACUAGUGCUAAAUGUUAUGAAUGACAGGUAAAGCGGAGACAAUACAGUCAUCCCUCAAAUAGUGCGGUUUCCAAUAGUUCGGUUUCGGUUUUAUACGGAUUGUCAUAGAUCUUUUAGGAUUUUUACAUUUCCUGUUUGUCGGGAUAUUUAAAAAUCCUUAAAAAUCUUAGAAAAUCCACAUAAAACCAAAACCGAACUAUUGGAAACUGUACUAUUUGAGGGACGUCUGUAAUAUGCAUCUGGAACCCGUGAAUCCGUAACUGGGCAGGGAAGGGACACUGACUGACCACAUGAAGGAAAGAACCGGUGUAGGAAAGGAAUUAAAGCUGAGUAAUUGAAGGGAAGAACUUAAAGCUGGUAAUAAGAGGAAGUGACGAUGGUUGACUGGCCGCUCCCUACACACACAUCACUCUCCGGGAAAGCUUAGAAAUUAGUGAAAAAAUAAAGAAAAAAAUAAUAAGCCUCAUCCCAGGGUACAAAAUCAACACUGAAACACAUAUACAAGGUCCUGGAGUGCUUAGAAAUUGAUGAAAGAAAAAAAAAUAUAAAUGGGAAAGCUUAGAAAUUAGUGAAAAAAUAAAGAAAAAAAUAAUAAGCCUCAUCCCAGGGUACAAAAUCAACACUGAAACACAUAUACAAGGUCCUGGAGUGCUUAGAAAUUGAUGAAAGAAAACAAAAAUAAAUAAGGAAUGAAUAAAUGUAAUAAGUAUCUGGUAAUUUAAGUGUCAGUAUCAUUGCAGGAAAAUAAUAGAAAUAAAAAUAGAAAGGAAAAAAUACCAUACAAUAGGAGCAGCGAGUGGAGGGAUUUUUUUUUUAUCAUUGUUUCCUUUUUUUGUGCCCUUGAGCUGUCUCCUUUGUUGUAAAAAAAAAAAAAAAAAAAAAAAAAAAAAAAAAUAAAA